Mobula hypostoma (lesser devil ray) is the source of this 400-nucleotide long non-coding RNA. RefSeq lists it as uncharacterized. Lineage: Eukaryota; Metazoa; Chordata; Chondrichthyes; Myliobatiformes; Myliobatidae. The record is from RefSeq and is a predicted model, not a curated record. The transcript is spliced from 3 exons.
AUAACUCAGUGGGGUUUUGGUCAAGCUAAUACGGACGAGAUAACCAAGAUGGAGCGAAACAACAGAGUGCCACGUGGGUGGCUAAAAGUGUGGAAAUGCAGAGAAAUUGUUAACUGGAAGCACAGGAGACUGCAAAUGCUGUAAAGGAGAGCAAAAAGAAACAAACUACCAUAGGAAACAAGAAAAUCUGCAGAUGCUGUUAAUCCAAGCUACACACAAAAUGCAGGGGGAACUCAGCCACACAGUAUCUACGGAAAAGAGUAUAGCAGACGUUUUGGGUCGAAACCCUUCAUCAGGACUGGGCGGGACUGAGUAUCAGAGGAACUCAGCUGGUCAGCCAGCAUCAGUGGAGGAAAAUUGUCAUUCGGUGUUUUGGAUCAAGACCCUUCAUCUGGACUGU